AACGAACGCUGGCGGCAUGCCUAACACAUGCAAGUCGAACGAGACCUUCGGGUCUAGUGGCGCACGGGUGCGUAACGCGUGGGAACCUGCCCUUAGGUUCGGAAUAACUCCCCGACAGGGGUGCUAAUACCGGAUAAUGUCUUCGGACCAAAGAUUUAUCGCCUUUGGAUGGGCCCGCGUUGGAUUAGCUAGUUGGUAGGGUAAAAGCCUACCAAGGCGACGAUCCAUAGCUGGUUUGGGAGGAUGAUCAGCCACACUGGGACUGAGAAACGGCCCAGACUCCUACGGGAGGCAGCAGUGGGGAAUAUUGGACAAUGGGCGAAAGCCUGAUCCAGCAAUGCCGCGUGAGUGAUGAAGGCCUUAGGGUUGUAAAGCUCUUUUACCCGGGAUGAUAAUGACAGUACCGGGAGAAUAAGCUCCGGCUAACUCCGUG
This 433-nucleotide ribosomal RNA is filed under the name uncultured bacterium. Its description in RNAcentral is "partial 16S ribosomal RNA". It matches the Rfam family "Bacterial small subunit ribosomal RNA", at positions 29 to 507 of the family's 1533-position model. The record is from RNAcentral.